AAGACUUUAAGUUAAAUAAACUAAAAACCUUCAAAGUUUUCAUUGACACACGUCAAGUCUUG
Molecule: transfer RNA, 62 nt
Filed under: Eisenia fetida (common brandling worm)
Lineage: Eukaryota; Metazoa; Annelida; Clitellata; Crassiclitellata; Lumbricidae
Description: tRNA-Trp
Source: RNAcentral